This 845-nucleotide ribosomal RNA is filed under the name Nocardia ninae. RNAcentral describes it as "bacterial SSU rRNA". It matches the Rfam family "Bacterial small subunit ribosomal RNA", at positions 65 to 923 of the family's 1533-position model. Lineage: Bacteria; Bacillati; Actinomycetota; Actinomycetes; Mycobacteriales; Nocardiaceae. The record is from RNAcentral.
AGCGGUAAAGGCCCUUCGGGGUACACGAGCGGCGAACGGGUGAGUAACACGUGGGUGAUCUGCCUCGCACUUCGGGAUAAGCCUGGGAAACUGGGUCUAAUACCGGAUAUGACCUUCNGAUGCAUGNUGGGGGGUGGAAAGAUUUAUCGGUGCGAGAUGGGCCCGCGGCCUAUCAGCUUGUUGGUGGGGUAACGGCCCACCAAGGCGACGACGGGUAGCCGACCUGAGAGGGUGACCGGCCACACUGGGACUGAGACACGGCCCAGACUCCUACGGGAGGCAGCAGUGGGGAAUAUUGCACAAUGGGCGAAAGCCUGAUGCAGCGACGCCGCGUGGAGGAUGACGGCCUUCGGGUUGUAAACUCCUUUCGACAGGGACGAAGCGCAAGUGACGGUACCUGUAGAAGAAGCACCGGCCAACUACGUGCCAGCAGCCGCGGUAAUACNUAGGGUGCGAGCGUUGUCCGGAAUUACUGGGCGUAAAGAGCUUGUAGGCGGUUUGUCGCGUCUUCUGUGAAAACUUGGGGCUCAACCUUAAGCUUGCAGGCGAUACGGGCAGACUAGAGUACUUCAGGGGAGACUGGAAUUCCUGGUGUAGCGGUGAAAUGCGCAGAUAUCAGGAGGAACACCGGUGGCGAAGGCGGGUCUCUGGGAAGUAACUGACGCUGAGAAGCGAAAGCAUGGGUAGCGAACAGGAUUAGAUACCCUGGUAGUCCAUGNCCGUAAACGGUGGGUACUAGGUGUGGGUUUCCUUCCNCGGGAUCCGUGCCNUAGCUAACGCAUUAAGUACCCCGCCUGGGGAGUACGGCCGCAAGGCUAAAACUCAAAGAAAUUGACGGGGGGCCC